CGAGCCACCGGGAUUACAGGCAAACACCACCACACCCAGCUGGAAUUGUGUUUUUUACUUUUAGGUGGUUUCCGUACCAUCGAAAGCUUUAUACAGACCCUCGUGCAUAUAUCCCAGUGCCAGCAUGCAAUUACUUAUUGCGGAUGACUCUCUAGGACUGCAAUCGCAGGGCCAGCCACCAUGAGGCGAAUGGCCUCCUGCACCAAGUGCUCCCACCAGGAUGCCACAGGCCCCAAGCAGCAGUCAAGCCAGCACAGACGGAAACCUAUGAAGCCAUAAGCCAAAACAAACCUUCCCUUCUUAUAAAUUCAUUAUCUCGAGCAUUUGUCACAGUAACAGAAAACUGACUAACACACAGCUACUCGGAGUCUGAGGCA
Molecule: long non-coding RNA, 377 nt
Organism: Sciurus carolinensis (gray squirrel)
Lineage: Eukaryota; Metazoa; Chordata; Mammalia; Rodentia; Sciuridae
Exons: 3
Source: RefSeq, a predicted model, not a curated record